Non-coding RNA from Vicugna pacos (alpaca), 995 nucleotides. Lineage: Eukaryota; Metazoa; Chordata; Mammalia; Artiodactyla; Camelidae. The record is from RefSeq and is a predicted model, not a curated record.
CGUGGGGCAGCCAAUUGUCUGAGUCCUCAUGGGGAUUAGAGGCUGGGCAAAUGGGGGGCCAGCACCACAGCCUCUCUUAGGAACAGCAGAGCCAUCCUCUGAAGUCUCCUGAGUGAACUGGCCACACUGUAGCUGACCUGUCCCUAGUAAGAGCUCUGCAGCUCUGGCAGGAUAUGUCCAGUGGGCAUGGAGGCCCCCACAUUUGUGUGAGAGCACUGGAGAGCGUCACAGCCUCGGGCGCUGUGAACACCUGAGGUGGUGCCCACCACCAAGGGACUCCCCUGUGCUCCCUGCAUUUAUCCACUCCACCAUUUGCUCCCUCGCUGAGGAUGCUGAAAGUGUGCCAUGUCUCAGGAGCGUGGAGGAUGGAACCGCUGGGUGUGGUGAGAGAGAGGAAUGAGCCCACGGCGUCACCUAGGUGAAUGAAAAGUAAGUUUGGAAUCAGAUGGCAGCACAGGCAAUAGAAGCCAGGAAUGGAGGAGAGGGAGAAGGUGAGGUCAAAGCUGUCAAGAUGAUGGAGGUGUCAGAGGUCAACUAGUGUCAAACUUGAGGGAAGUGAGCAUCAAAGCAUGAAAGAAAAAUCUCAGCUCCCAAAAGUCUGAGAGCUUGUCCCAAUGCUGGGCCCACAAAGACAUCGUCCAUUUGGAGGCUCAGCUGGGGUGCAGGAUACAGAAGCUGGUUCUCUUGCCACUAGAAUGAAAAUGCCUGAGAUGAUUUCAGAAUGUGGAUGCCUGAGAAUGUAAUGAGGAUUGUGGACCCUGCCUCCACGAAGAAAGCACAUGUAUGUACAAACACUUAAUAUCACUCAUAUAGUCUGUAGGGUUUGUGGUACCUGCCUGAAGCCCACAUGUGGACCCUCUAGUGAUGCAUGGACCCUGGUCGAGAAAGCCAUGUCACCCACUUGCUCAAUCAAAGAAAGUCAUUCUCAACCACAUGUGUUUCCCAGAAAGAUAUUCUGUGGCUUGCUAACUUCACAAAAAAAUUACAGAUUUUGC